This 264-nucleotide ribosomal RNA is filed under the name uncultured bacterium. RNAcentral's name for it is "partial 16S ribosomal RNA". It matches the Rfam family "Bacterial small subunit ribosomal RNA", at positions 91 to 353 of the family's 1533-position model. The record is from RNAcentral.
CUUAGUGGCGGACGGGUGAGUAACGCGUGGGUAACCUGCCUCACACUGGGGGAUAACAGUUAGAAAUAGCUGCUAAUACCGCAUAAGCGCACAGUUCCGCAUGGAACAGUGUGAAAAACUCCGGUGGUGUGAGAUGGACCCGCGUCUGAUUAGCCAGUUGGCGGGGUAACGGCCCACCAAAGUGACGAUCAGUAGCCGGCCUGAGAGGGUGAACGGCCACAUUGGGACUGAGACACGGCCCAAACUCCUACGGGAGGCAGCAUG